UAUCUCUGUAGAGUCUGCAUAUCAAUAAGCGGAGGAAAAGAAACUAACUAAGGAUUCCCUCAGUAACGGCGAGUGAAGCGGGAAGAGCUCAAAUUUGAAAUCUUCAAGGUUCUACCUUGACGAAUUGUAGUUUAUAGAAGUGUUUUCUGUAGUGGAGUUUUGGUAAAAGUUCUUUGGAAUAGGACAUCAUAGAGGGUGAGAAUCCCGUAUUUGGCCAUUAUUUCCAACUUUGUGAUACACUUUCAAAGAGUCGGAUUGUUUGGGAAUGCAGUCCAAAAUGGGUGGUAAAUUUCAUCUAAAGCUAAAUACUGGCGAGAGACCGAUAGCGAACAAGUACCGUGAGGGAAAGAUGAAAAGAACUUUGAAAAGAGAGUUAAACAGUACGUGAAAUUGUCAAAAGGGAAGCGUUUGACACCAGUGUUGUUUUCUCGAAAAUCAAUUAAAAAUGGCGGGAUUUUGUGUUGUAUUGACUUUAUCAGCUUUCUGCACUUUUUUCUUGUCUUUUUUAAUGCACUUUUCGUUUAACAAGUCAACAUCAAUUUCUUUUGUUGUAAAAGAGUCAUUGGAAGGUGGCUUUCACUUCGGUGAAAGUGUUUAUAGCCUUUGACUUCUGCAAUCGGAGAGAUUGAGGUCUGCAGCGUAGAUCCUUCGGGGUUAGAUGCAUUUGUGCUAAGUUAUAGCCUUUCAUAGACAACUUGUUGACUAUGAUCAGUCAUGUAGCUUACUCGCUUAUGUCAUUUUACCUACGCUUAGGAUGUUGACGCAUGAGAUAUACG
This 776-nucleotide ribosomal RNA is filed under the name uncultured Neocallimastigales. RNAcentral describes it as "partial large subunit ribosomal RNA". It matches the Rfam family "Eukaryotic large subunit ribosomal RNA", at positions 24 to 646 of the family's 3401-position model. Lineage: Eukaryota; Fungi; Neocallimastigomycota; Neocallimastigomycetes; Neocallimastigales. The record is from RNAcentral.